Molecule: ribosomal RNA, 460 nt
Filed under: uncultured bacterium
Lineage: Bacteria
Description: partial 16S ribosomal RNA
Rfam family: Bacterial small subunit ribosomal RNA
Source: RNAcentral
CCUACGGGUGGCAGCAGUGAGGAAUAUUGGUCAAUGGGCGGGAGCCUGAACCAGCCAAGUCGCGUGAGGGAAGACGGUCCUAUGGAUUGUAAACCUCUUUAGGCGGGGAGCAAUGCCGGGCACGCUUGCCCGGAUGGAGAGUACCCGCAGAAUAAGCAUCGGCUAACUCCGUUCCAGCAGCCGCGGUAAUACGGAGGAUGCGAGCGUUAUCCGGAUUUAUUGGGUUUAAAGGUUGCGUAGGCGGAGUUUUAAGUCAGCGGUAAAAGGUCCGGGCUCAACCCGGGCCGGCCGUUGAAACUGGGGAUCUUGAGUGGGCGAGAAGUAUGCGGAAUGCGUGGUGUAGCGGUGAAAUGCAUAGAUAUCACGCAGAACUCCGAUUGCGAAGGCAGCAUACCGGCGCCCGACUGACGCUGAGGCACGAAAGCGUGGGGAUCGAACAGGAUUAGAUACCCUUGUAGUC